GAUGAACGCUGGCGGCGUGCCUAAUACAUGCAAGUCGAGCGAACAGAUGAGGAGCUUGCUCCUCUGACGUUAGCGGCGGACGGGUGAGUAACACGUGGAUAACCUACCUAUAAGACUGGGAUAACUUCGGGAAACCGGAGCUAAUACCGGAUAAUAUAUUGAACCGCAUGGUUCAAUAGUGAAAGACGGUUUUGCUGUCACUUAUAGAUGGAUCCGCGCCGCAUUAGCUAGUUGGUAAGGUAACGGCUUACCAAGGCAACGAUGCGUAGCCGACCUGAGAGGGUGAUCGGCCACACUGGAACUGAGACACGGUCCAGACUCCUACGGGAGGCAGCAGUAGGGAAUCUUCCGCAAAGGGCGAAAGCUUGACGGAGCAAAGCCGCGUGAGUGAUGAAGGUCUUCGGAUCGUAAAACUCUGUUAUUAGGGAAGAACAAAUGUGUAAGUAACUAUGCACGUCUUGACGGUACCUAAUCAGAAAGCCACGGCUAACUACGUG
Molecule: ribosomal RNA, 497 nt
Filed under: uncultured bacterium
Lineage: Bacteria
Description: partial 16S ribosomal RNA
Rfam family: Bacterial small subunit ribosomal RNA
Source: RNAcentral